RNAcentral lists this long non-coding RNA (1272 nucleotides) under Zostera marina. Its description in RNAcentral is "long non-coding RNA (ZMAR_LNC000359)". The record is from RNAcentral. Lineage: Eukaryota; Viridiplantae; Streptophyta; Magnoliopsida; Alismatales; Zosteraceae.
AUCAAUAUAAUACCAAAAGCAGAGUAAUACGGUACAGACAACAAGACAUUCUCCCAUAGUAAUGUAAAUUAUUGGAAAAGGGCCCGGUAUUAAAGGUAAGAUAAAUGGGUACGAUAAAUUCAUGAGAAUUGUCACAAUUGCAACACAGCCGAUUUUCUUUAGCCUGUAUUUCUUGACUUUAUCAGUCUUUGGCGUGGUGUCCAUCUUCCUCCAUAUCCACAGCAGAGUCAUGUUGUUAAGGUACAUACCGACGAUGAAGAUUAUCAUAUUGAUGUUGCAUCUGAAUCGCCAUAUUGCUGAGAAUGUUUCAUACGUCAGGUAUGCAAGGGAGAUUGUUACGAGUACGUCGGAUAUGUCGUAGCGUCUACUGUUCGGUGAGUCGGAGAUGAUCGGUGCUGUCUUUGGUAGAAGUGGAUAUUCCAUGAAAGGUCUGUAUUUUAGCAUAUAGCGUCAAUGUUUUUUUGUUAAAAAAAUCUGUGAAAGUAUUAUAUAUAUAUAAAUAAACACACCUUGAGGCCUGCGGAAUUGAGGAUUGAUUCAAUGAAAUCUAAAUACUAAUUAAUAUUGAUUGAUAUAUUCAACCAUUGGUUUGAGUAAUUGAGUGGUUUCUCUUAAAAGUCAAAAAUGAAUUGUAAUUUGUAAGGUAUAAAAUAGUCAUCAUUAAUUGAUUUUUUUUUUUUUUUUUUUGUUGUUGCAAAUAUCAUUAAUUGGAUUAGGUCUUUUAACAUAGUAUUAUUUAGCCCAUUGGGUCUUUCUAUCUACUAGAAAGAGCCGCAAAGCCUUUUAGAUUUUUGAACAGCUGGCUAAGAAAGCCGUCCGUCCGUCAACACCUUAUUUCAAACAACCUGGAAUACUCAGGUUGCCGCCACGCCGGAUCGCCGCUAUGCAGACAGACUACAACAAAAGAUGAUAAAACUGUUACGGACUGUUAUGAUAGAAUGGGCUAUAAACCAAGGUAAUCAAUCCUAGAGAUGGGCAAAUAAAGGUGCAUGGUCUUAUGGGAGUCGAUCUAGCAGUGAAGAAAGGUCCAUGGUCUUAUGGGAGUCGAUGAGGCUGCGGAUAGUUAAGUGAACUGUAAUGUAUUCUCAAAUUCUAAAUUAUGUACUAAAUACCUUUUUCAUUUAAAUUAAGCACCAAAUAACAAUCUCAAAUAAGAUGAGGAUCGUAACCUAGCGUGAAUUUGAAAUCGCCCAAUUCCAGAUAUGAACUCAACGGAAACCUUCCUUCUAACGGUCAGCGAGUCUCUCGAGGAUGAAAAAAAGAAUGGAAAAG